This 253-nucleotide ribosomal RNA is filed under the name uncultured bacterium. RNAcentral describes it as "partial 16S ribosomal RNA". It matches the Rfam family "Bacterial small subunit ribosomal RNA", at positions 524 to 776 of the family's 1533-position model. The record is from RNAcentral.
UACAGAGGUCCCGAGCGUUGUUCGGAUUCACUGGGCGUAAAGGGUGCGUAGGUGGUGACGUAAGUCGGAUGUGAAAUCUCGGAGCUCAACUCCGAAACGGCAUUGGAAACUGCGUUGCUAGAGGGUUGGAGGGGGGACUGGAAUGCUUGGUGUAGCAGUGAAAUGCGUAGAUAUCAAGCGGAACACCAGUGGCGAAGGCGAGUCCCUGGACAACACCUGACACUGAGGCACGAAAGCUAGGGGAGCAAACAGG